Molecule: ribosomal RNA, 603 nt
Filed under: uncultured bacterium
Lineage: Bacteria
Description: bacterial SSU rRNA
Rfam family: Bacterial small subunit ribosomal RNA
Source: RNAcentral
AGAGUUUGAUCCUGGCUCAUAUUGAACGCUGGCGGCAGGCCUAACACAUGCAAGUCGAGCGGAUGAUGGGAGCUUGCUCCCGGAUUCAGCGGCGGACGGGUGAGUAAUGCCUAGGAAUCUGCCUGGUAGUGGGGGACAACGUUUCGAAAGGAACGCUAAUACCGCAUACGUCCUACGGGAGAAAGCAGGGGACCUUCGGGCCUUGCGCUAUCAGAUGAGCCUAGGUCGGAUUAGCUAGUUGGUGGGGUAAAGGCCUACCAAGGCGACGAUCCGUAACUGGUCUGAGAGGAUGAUCAGUCACACUGGAACUGAGACACGGUCCAGACUCCUACGGGAGGCAGCAGUGGGGAAUAUUGGACAAUGGGCGAAAGCCUGAUCCAGCCAUGCCGCGUGUGUGAAGAAGGUCUUCGGAUUGUAAAGCACUUUAAGUUGGGAGGAAGGGCAGUAAGUUAAUACCUUGCUGUUUUGACGUUACCAACAGAAUAAGCACCGGCUAACUUCGUGCCAGCAGCCGCGGUAAUACGAAGGGUGCAAGCGUUAAUCGGAAUUACUGGGCGUAAAGCGCGCGUAGGUGGUUUGGUAAGAUGGAUGUGAAAUCCCCGG